This 564-nucleotide ribosomal RNA is filed under the name uncultured bacterium. RNAcentral's name for it is "partial 16S ribosomal RNA". It matches the Rfam family "Bacterial small subunit ribosomal RNA", at positions 355 to 911 of the family's 1533-position model. The record is from RNAcentral.
UGGGGAAUUUUGGACAAUGGGCGAAAGCCUGAUCCAGCAAUGCCGCGUGUGUGAAGAAGGCCUUCGGGUUGUAAAGCACUUUUGUCCGGAAAGAAAUCCUUGGCUCUAAUACAGUCGGGGGAUGACGGUACCGGAAGAAUAAGCACCGGCUAACUACGUGCCAGCAGCCGCGGUAAUACGUAGGGUGCAAGCGUUAAUCGGAAUUACUGGGCGUAAAGCGUGCGCAGGCGGUUUGCUAAGACCGAUGUGAAAUCCCCGGGCUCAACCUGGGAACUGCAUUGGUGACUGGCAGGCUAGAGUAUGGCAGAGGGGGGUAGAAUUCCACGUGUAGCAGUGAAAUGCGUAGAGAUGUGGAGGAAUACCGAUGGCGAAGGCAGCCCCCUGGGCCAAAUACUGACGCUCAUGCACGAAAGCGUGGGGAGCAAACAGGAUUAGAUACCCUGGUAGUCCACGCCCUAAACGAUGUCAACUAGUUGUUGGGGAUUCAUUUCCUUAGUAACGUAGCUAACGCGUGAAGUUGACCGCCUGGGGAGUACGGUCGCAAGAUUAAAACUCAAAUGAAUU